This 282-nucleotide ribosomal RNA is filed under the name uncultured bacterium. Its description in RNAcentral is "partial 16S ribosomal RNA". It matches the Rfam family "Bacterial small subunit ribosomal RNA", at positions 793 to 1055 of the family's 1533-position model. The record is from RNAcentral.
GUCUAUGCUAUCAAAGAUGAGUGUUAAUAUUAAAAAUUUUUAGUAUAAAAGCUAACGCGUUAAACACUCCGCCUGGGGAGUACGGUCGCAAGAUUGAAACUCAAAGGAAUUGGCGGGGGUCUACACAAAUGGUGGAGCAUGUGGUUUAAUGCGAUAAUCCGCGCGAAACCUUACCAACUUUUGCAUACUAAAUUUAAUUUUAUUUAUUUAAAUAUUAUUUAACUAUAUAAAAUUUAGUUAUAUAGAUAAGCUAAUUUUUUACAGGUGUUGCAUGGCUGUCGU